RNAcentral lists this ribosomal RNA (462 nucleotides) under uncultured bacterium. RNAcentral describes it as "partial 16S ribosomal RNA". It matches the Rfam family "Bacterial small subunit ribosomal RNA", at positions 28 to 507 of the family's 1533-position model. The record is from RNAcentral.
GACGAACGCUGGCGGCGUGCUUAACACAUGCAAGUCGAGCGGACAGGCCCUUCGGGGUCUUCUAGCGUCGAACGGGUGAGUAACACGUGAGUAACCUGCCCCAGACUUUGUGAUAACCCUCGGACUCGGGGGCUACUACCCUAUACGCCACUGCUUCUCUUGGGGUCUUUGUGGAAAGUUUUUCGGUUUUGGAUGGGCUCGCGGCCUAUCAGCUUGUUCGUGAGUUGCUGGCAGACCAAGGCGCCGACGGGUAGCCGGCCUGUGAGGGGGACCGGCCACACUGGGACUGAGAGACGGCGCAGACUCCUACGGGAGGCAGCAGGGGGGAAUAUUGCACAAUGGGCGGAAGCCUGAGGCAGAGACGCUGCGAGAGGGAUGACGGCCUUCGGGUGGUAAACCUAUGUCAGCAGGGACGAAGAGUAAGUGACGGUACCUGCAGAAGAAGCGCCGGCUAACUACGUG